UGUGAUGGUGUCUGCUCCUCUACAGAGCUCUAUGAGUACUGCAUCAAGGAAGGAUACGCUGACAAAAACCUGAUUGCCAAGUGGAAGAAACAGGGUUAUGAGAACCUCUGCUGCCUGCGCUGUAUCCAGACGCGCGACACCAACUUCGGAACCAACUGCAUCUGCAGGGUCCCUAAAAGCAAGCUGGAAGUGGGGAGAAUCAUUGAAUGCACUCACUGUGGAUGCAGAGGCUGUUCUGGGUGAAGCUGUUUUAGCCAUAAGACUACUUUUGGAAUUCUGAGGGAUUUCAUCCUGCACAAUGGACAGUCACAGCCGCUUUCUGCGUGAGUGGAUAUUUCUGUAUAGCAAUUAAAGCAGUAACGUAUUCGCCUGGAUCGUAUUUGCAAAGGUGGUUGUGUUGGAGUAGGUUUUUGUGUAGCCAUUUAUUUUAAAAUAAAGUCUGCCCUCCUGAGAGAGUGGUGUGAUCUUCUGGCAAAA
This is a long non-coding RNA of Calidris pugnax (ruff), 477 nucleotides long. RefSeq lists it as uncharacterized. The transcript is spliced from 3 exons. The record is from RefSeq and is a predicted model, not a curated record. Lineage: Eukaryota; Metazoa; Chordata; Aves; Charadriiformes; Scolopacidae.